ACGCUGGCGGCGUGCCUAAUACAUGCAAGUCGAACGCUUCUUUCCUCCCGAGUGCUUGCACUCAAUUGGAAAGAGGAGUGGCGGACGGGUGAGUAACACGUGGGUAACCUACCCAUCAGAGGGGGAUAACACUUGGAAACAGGUGCUAAUACCGCAUAACAGUUUAUGCCGCAUGGCAUAAGAGUGAAAGGCGCUUUCGGGUGUCGCUGAUGGAUGGACCCGCGGUGCAUUAGCUAGUUGGUGAGGUAACGGCUCACCAAGGCCACGAUGCAUAGCCGACCUGAGAGGGUGAUCGGCCAC
RNAcentral lists this ribosomal RNA (300 nucleotides) under Enterococcus faecalis. Its description in RNAcentral is "bacterial SSU rRNA". It matches the Rfam family "Bacterial small subunit ribosomal RNA", at positions 33 to 311 of the family's 1533-position model. The record is from RNAcentral. Lineage: Bacteria; Bacillati; Bacillota; Bacilli; Lactobacillales; Enterococcaceae.